This 1520-nucleotide ribosomal RNA is filed under the name Klebsiella pneumoniae. Its description in RNAcentral is "bacterial SSU rRNA". It matches the Rfam family "Bacterial small subunit ribosomal RNA". RNAcentral also lists the same sequence under 2 other names. The record is from RNAcentral. Lineage: Bacteria; Pseudomonadati; Pseudomonadota; Gammaproteobacteria; Enterobacterales; Enterobacteriaceae.
AGAGUUUGAUCAUGGCUCAGAUUGAACGCUGGCGGCAGGCCUAACACAUGCAAGUCGAGCGGUAGCACAGAGAGCUUGCUCUCGGGUGACGAGCGGCGGACGGGUGAGUAAUGUCUGGGAAACUGCCUGAUGGAGGGGGAUAACUACUGGAAACGGUAGCUAAUACCGCAUAAUGUCGCAAGACCAAAGUGGGGGACCUUCGGGCCUCAUGCCAUCAGAUGUGCCCAGAUGGGAUUAGCUAGUAGGUGGGGUAAUGGCUCACCUAGGCGACGAUCCCUAGCUGGUCUGAGAGGAUGACCAGCCACACUGGAACUGAGACACGGUCCAGACUCCUACGGGAGGCAGCAGUGGGGAAUAUUGCACAAUGGGCGCAAGCCUGAUGCAGCCAUGCCGCGUGUGUGAAGAAGGCCUUCGGGUUGUAAAGCACUUUCAGCGGGGAGGAAGGCGGUGAGGUUAAUAACCUCAUCGAUUGACGUUACCCGCAGAAGAAGCACCGGCUAACUCCGUGCCAGCAGCCGCGGUAAUACGGAGGGUGCAAGCGUUAAUCGGAAUUACUGGGCGUAAAGCGCACGCAGGCGGUCUGUCAAGUCGGAUGUGAAAUCCCCGGGCUCAACCUGGGAACUGCAUUCGAAACUGGCAGGCUAGAGUCUUGUAGAGGGGGGUAGAAUUCCAGGUGUAGCGGUGAAAUGCGUAGAGAUCUGGAGGAAUACCGGUGGCGAAGGCGGCCCCCUGGACAAAGACUGACGCUCAGGUGCGAAAGCGUGGGGAGCAAACAGGAUUAGAUACCCUGGUAGUCCACGCCGUAAACGAUGUCGAUUUGGAGGUUGUGCCCUUGAGGCGUGGCUUCCGGAGCUAACGCGUUAAAUCGACCGCCUGGGGAGUACGGCCGCAAGGUUAAAACUCAAAUGAAUUGACGGGGGCCCGCACAAGCGGUGGAGCAUGUGGUUUAAUUCGAUGCAACGCGAAGAACCUUACCUGGUCUUGACAUCCACAGAACUUUCCAGAGAUGGAUUGGUGCCUUCGGGAACUGUGAGACAGGUGCUGCAUGGCUGUCGUCAGCUCGUGUUGUGAAAUGUUGGGUUAAGUCCCGCAACGAGCGCAACCCUUAUCCUUUGUUGCCAGCGGUUAGGCCGGGAACUCAAAGGAGACUGCCAGUGAUAAACUGGAGGAAGGUGGGGAUGACGUCAAGUCAUCAUGGCCCUUACGACCAGGGCUACACACGUGCUACAAUGGCAUAUACAAAGAGAAGCGACCUCGCGAGAGCAAGCGGACCUCAUAAAGUAUGUCGUAGUCCGGAUUGGAGUCUGCAACUCGACUCCAUGAAGUCGGAAUCGCUAGUAAUCGUAGAUCAGAAUGCUACGGUGAAUACGUUCCCGGGCCUUGUACACACCGCCCGUCACACCAUGGGAGUGGGUUGCAAAAGAAGUAGGUAGCUUAACCUUCGGGAGGGCGCUUACCACUUUGUGAUUCAUGACUGGGGUGAAGUCGUAACAAGGUAACCGUAGGGGAACCUGCGGUUG